This 372-nucleotide unclassified non-coding RNA is filed under the name uncultured Rikenellaceae bacterium. RNAcentral's name for it is "contains 16S-23S intergenic spacer region". The record is from RNAcentral. Lineage: Bacteria; Pseudomonadati; Bacteroidota; Bacteroidia; Bacteroidales; Rikenellaceae.
UCCUCCUUACAGAGGCAGUCCCGAUAGAGUGCCCAGCACUACCUGAUGGCAACUAUCAGCAGGGGUUGCGCUCGUUAUGGGACUUAACCCGACACCUCACGGCACGAGCUGACGACAACCAUGCAGCACCUAGUUUCGUGCCCCGAAGGGAAGAUCAGUUUCCUGAUCCGUCACUAACUUUCAAGCCCGGGUAAGGUUCCUCGCGUAUCAUCGAAUUAAACCACAUGUUCCUCCGCUUGUGCGGGCCCCCGUCAAUUCCUUUGAGUUUCAUUCUUGCGAACGUACUCCCCAGGUGGAUAGCUUAUCGAUUUCUCUAAGUCACCGACUGUGUAUCGCCGACAACGAGCUAUCAUCGUUUACUGCGUGGACUAC